Molecule: long non-coding RNA, 629 nt
Filed under: Mytilus galloprovincialis (Mediterranean mussel)
Lineage: Eukaryota; Metazoa; Mollusca; Bivalvia; Mytilida; Mytilidae
Source: RNAcentral
AAAAACAAUUUUAUACAAAAGUAACAAAUCAGCUAACUGCUGAAUAUAUAUAUAUAUAUAUCACCAACACAACCAUUAGAAAAGAUUUAUUGUAAAAUAAAACUCAUCCAAACAAUACUGAUUUUAAAAAAACAUUGACUAGAAACUGCAACCAAGAUUGGAAUGAGGAUUUAAGUGAAAAUUUGUAAAACAAAGGACAAAAAAAAAACCAAUCUAAACAAAAUGUGUGUUGUUUAAAGGUAUAUAACUUCAUUUUAAAUGACAGGAAUAAACUCACAAAAUGCACCAGUAUAGGGGGAAAACAGAUGUUGUUAUCAAAAUUAUAAUACUGAGUUAAAAAAAUUAAUACAUAUAUCAAUCAAGAAAAUUGACAUUACAUUUCUCAUAAAAAAAAGCCCACCAACAACAGCCUCGACUAAAAACAAUUUUGCACAAAAGUAACAAAUCAGCUAACUGCUGAAUAUACAUAUAUCACGAACACAACCACUAAUAAGAUUUAUUGUAGAAAUAUAUAAAAAAAACAUCUAUACCAUUCUGAUUUUUUUUUUUUUAACAUUGACUAGAAACUACAACCAAGAUUGGAAUGUUGAUUUAAGUUAAAUUUUAAAAUGAGUAAAACAUAUUCAACU